This 253-nucleotide ribosomal RNA is filed under the name uncultured bacterium. Its description in RNAcentral is "partial 16S ribosomal RNA". It matches the Rfam family "Bacterial small subunit ribosomal RNA", at positions 524 to 776 of the family's 1533-position model. The record is from RNAcentral.
UACGUAUGUCCCGAGCGUUAUCCGGAUUUAUUGGGCGUAAAGCGAGCGCAGACGGUUAAUUAAGUCUGAUGUGAAAUCCCGGAGCUCAACUCCGGAAUGGCAUUGGAUACUGGUUAACUUGAGUGCAGUAGAGGUAAGUGGAACUCGAUGUGUAGCGGUGAAAUGCGUAGAUAUAUGGAAGAACACCAAUUGCGAAGGCAGCUUACUGGACUGUAACUGACGCUGAGGCUCGAAAGCGUGGGGAGCAAACAGG